GGAUGCGAUCAUACCAGCACUAAAGCAUCGGAUCCGAUCAGAACUCCGAAGUUAAGCGUGCUUGGGCGAGAGUAGUACUAGGAUGGGUGACCUCCUGGGAAGUCCUCGUGUUGCAUUCCC
RNAcentral lists this ribosomal RNA (120 nucleotides) under Aegilops tauschii. The record is from RNAcentral. Lineage: Eukaryota; Viridiplantae; Streptophyta; Magnoliopsida; Poales; Poaceae.